Prosopis cineraria is the source of this 694-nucleotide long non-coding RNA. RefSeq lists it as uncharacterized. The record is from RefSeq and is a predicted model, not a curated record. NCBI's taxonomy places the organism in Eukaryota, Viridiplantae, Streptophyta, Magnoliopsida, Fabales, Fabaceae. The transcript has 3 exons.
UCCAUCCGCCACUGAUCUAUCAUCAAAUGGCUUUUGUUUUCUUCUUCCUUUUCUGUACCUUCGGUGUCUUCUCUUCUGUUUCAGCCAUUGCUGGCACUGAUGUGAAUGACCACCAUUGCUUCAUCCGUUUGCCAUCAAUAGGUGCUGGUGUUCGUUCAUCGCUGUUGUGUGUUUGCCAAGAUCCCUUUGUUCUCCCUCGCCCAGCUCGUGUCUGAUGCGAAGUGUUGAGCUUUUACUCUGCUAUCGCUGUUGCUGGAGGCUAAGGAUGGUCAAAAAUCUUCAAUCUUGCAACUCCUCUACUCGUGCAUCACAGCAAAUGUUGCUGUUGUCUCAGAUUCAUUAGUUGACACUGGACCUCCUCUCGAUCAUUAAGGGGCUUACAACUAAGCUGGGUGAAAAGAGUAUAAGAAGGCUGGGAAAGGAAGCGAGAAAGGAUUGGUUUAUUUGGUAGUAGUAUAACGACCUAUAUAUGUAAUGAAUGUAUAUUUGUGUUUUAAGAAUUUUGGUUGCCAACUAGGAUGCAUAUGAGUAUGUGUAUGUAUAUGUGUAGUUUUUGAGUCGUGAUGACUUGCUUAUAUAUUUGAUAUUGCAUCUUAUCAAGUGUAUCACAAUGGUGAAUAUGUGGGUAGGCCUAGAUGUUAUUCAAGCAAGUGUAUGUUAUGUUAUAUAACUUGUUUCACUAGUCAUGAAUACA